RNAcentral lists this ribosomal RNA (462 nucleotides) under Numenes patrana. Its description in RNAcentral is "partial large subunit ribosomal RNA". Lineage: Eukaryota; Metazoa; Arthropoda; Insecta; Lepidoptera; Erebidae. The record is from RNAcentral.
UGCCCACUGAUAAUAAUUAAAGGGCUGCAGUAUUUUGACUGUACAAAGGUAGCAUAAUCAUUAGUCAUUUAAUUGAUGACUUGUAUGAAAGAUUGGAUGAAAUAUAAACUGUCUCAUUAAUAAUUUAUAGAAAUUAAUUUUUUAAUUAAAAAGUUAAAAUAAUUUAAAAAGACGAGAAGACCCUAUAGAGUUUUAUUUUUUAAUAGUUUAAUUGAAUGUAUAAAUUUAUAAAUUUUUAAACUAUUAAGGAAUUUUAUUGGGGUGAUAGAAAAAUUAAAUUAACUUUUUUUAAUAGUUUAUACAUAAAUAAAUGAUUAUUUGAUCCAAUUAAUAUUGAUUAUAAGAAUAAAUUACCUUAGGGAUAACAGCGUAAUUUUUUUUUUUAGUUCGUAUAAAAAAAAGAGUUUGCGACCUCGAUGUUGGAUUAAGAUAAAAUUUAAAUGUAGAAGUUUAAAAUUUUGA